Molecule: ribosomal RNA, 253 nt
Filed under: uncultured bacterium
Lineage: Bacteria
Description: partial 16S ribosomal RNA
Rfam family: Bacterial small subunit ribosomal RNA
Source: RNAcentral
UACAGAGGUCUCAAGCGUUGUUCGGAUUCAUUGGGCGUAAAGGGUGCGUAGGCGGCUGUUCAAGUCGAACGUGAAAACUCGGAGCUCAACUCCGAGCCUGCGUUCGAUACUGGAUGGCUAGAGUCUGGUAGGGGGAUCUGGAAUUCCUGGUGUAGCGGUGGAAUGCGCAGAUAUCAGGAGGAACACCGGUGGCGAAGGCGGGAUCCUGGGCCAGUACUGACGCUGAGGAGCGAAAGCGUGGGGAGCAAACAGG